UACGGGGGGAGCAAGCGUUGUUCGGAUUUACUGGGCGUAAAGGGCGCGUAGGCGGUCGUGACAAGUCACUUGUGAAAUCUCCGGGCUUAACUCGGAACGGUCAAGUGAUACUGCUUUGCUAGAGUGCAGAAGGGGCAAUCGGAAUUCUUGGUGUAGCGGUGAAAUGCGUAGAUAUCAAGAGGAACACCUGAGGUGAAGACGGGUUGCUGGGCUGACACUGACGCUGAGGCGCGAAAGCUAGGGUAGCAAACGGG
This 254-nucleotide ribosomal RNA is filed under the name uncultured bacterium. RNAcentral's name for it is "partial 16S ribosomal RNA". It matches the Rfam family "Bacterial small subunit ribosomal RNA", at positions 524 to 776 of the family's 1533-position model. The record is from RNAcentral.